This 2612-nucleotide long non-coding RNA is filed under the name Strigops habroptila (Kakapo). RNAcentral describes it as "lncRNA (ENSSHBG00005007077.1)". The record is from RNAcentral. Lineage: Eukaryota; Metazoa; Chordata; Aves; Psittaciformes; Psittacidae.
UUUCUGAGGAUUUCUCUACUUCCGUGAUGAUAUUUAGAAGCUGAGAACAAAGCUGCUCUGUGCAACUGGAAUUCCUCCUGUGCACCUCUAUGCCCAGCAGGACUUUGUUGGUUUAGGACCACGUGUGCUAAAACUCUCACCAGUAAAGCCUGGGAAAGUGUGUCCUUGCACGGUCUGGGUUUGAGCUAGGAAAGGCAGCAGACCACAGAACAGACUGUGCUGCAGAAAUUGUUUUUUCAAGUUAGUACCUGUUCACAGCAGCAGAAGUGUAGGUGGAAAUAUUGACCUUUGCCUUCUUUUGGGCAAGUAUUUUUGUCACUGCUGUUGAUUUGCGUCAUGUUCUGGAAAACUUGCGUGAACUGGUGGUGCUUCUUGCUGAAUUAUAAUGAACAAGCAAAGCAGCUGUUGUGAUAGCCUGGGAGAAGGGUUUGAAUGAAGUGGCAGCCGGCUCUUCUGUGGCCUUCACGUAUCUGUAGAAAUCAGCUCCAAGAAAUCAGAGCACUUGGUUGGCUGCUUUCCUCUGAUGCUUUUACAGACUUGGCUGUGACAAUGGAAAGUAAAAUCAGACACUCUAAACCAGAAUCUUUUUUGGUUUUGGGGGGAUCCUCCAUACUGAUAGCUUUGCUAGUUUCCUUAGUGCUGGAAUGCACAGGAAUCCAAGUCCUGCAUAGAGGCAAAGGGGUGAACACUUGGGAAUAGGGUAAAUCCUACUUAAAAACCUGUUAAAUCCUGCCCCAAAUACAUAAUUAUUUUUUUGGGGGGGAUGAGGGGAAGCGUGAAAGUUAUGGCAAAAUAACGUUUAAGAAGGGGCUGGUAUUGGACAGCAUUCCCCAUUCCACAGAUGGGUGGAUCAGCCAUCACGGAUUAACUAUCCAUAGUGAAAGUGAGAGUAAGGUUCCCUUUGUCCCUUGGAAGGGACUUUCCAUCUGCAACAUCCUCCCACCCCUCAGAGUUAAUGAAGGGAGUAGGAGGGCCUCUGGGAACUGGGUCAGUGGCAGCUCCAGCACAGUGCAGCUUAAUUAAGCGAAGGAAAAUAAGCAAGAGGGCAGGACCCCUAUGUGGCCAUCCAGGAAAGCAGCUGCGUUGGAGCAAGCAGAUAAAGCUGCAUUUCCACCUGCUCUACCAAGCUGCCUCUCGAUGUUCCCGAAGGCUGGAAGACACAAUCUCCACUGCAGAGGACAGCCCUGUAAGCUGUUCUACUUCUGAAGCUCUCAUUGUAAGAUGGACUAGCCACAUUUCCUUUCUGCAGAGCACACUUGCUUGGCUCUAGUAUUCCUCAUAGGGCCAACAGUCCCACUUUUAGGCUCUGCAACUGUCUUGUAAGAAAUCUGUUGCUGGGCUGACGUGGUCCAGCAUGGCUUAGGCUGUGUUUUCCUUGGCUUCUUUAACAUUACCAUCUUUAGAGCCUGUCAGGGAAAAAACCCAACCCAAACAAACCCUAAAAAAUCCCAUAGGGCUAUGUCAAACCAGAACAAGGGAGAACUGUUUUCAGGCUGGGAAUGUAAGAUGAGCAACAAAGUUUGCUCCCAAGACCUUUAGGUGUGGAUGGAUUGAAUAUAAACCCUAUUGAGAUGCAUGGACCCAGAUCCAAUUUUCCAAACAGCACAGGGCCAGUCAAAAUUGCAGUCUUUAUGUGGACACAUUGCUUUCUAAAGUUAAUUUUGAUACAGUCAAUUCUCUGUGACUCAGAAUGAUGUGAAGGUAUUCCUCCUACCUUAACCAUUGUUGGCAGGGGGACUUGGAGCAUGGCAGUUGGACAGAAGCACCUGGGAAACGUGCUUUGGGGCUCUGUUACUGACCCUCUGUUAAUUGCACAAGAGCUGCACAGGCCUCUGGUUUGCAUUGACUAAUUAGCUGAGUAAUGCAAUCUCCUUUUAAACGUUCUUUCUCUUCUAGAUCAAGAAUGAGACAUACAUUGAUUAAAUGACUUAGCCAAGGUCACAUAGUGAGUGACUCAUUGGCAGAGGCAGGAGUUAACACCUGGUAUUGUUAAAUUCCUGCUUCCCAGACCCCGUUGCCUCUUAUUUCUAAGUACGCUUCUCUUUCCUCUCCUGGCCCUUUUGCCUCUUGCCCACUGCAGGAUUUGUUACAUGUGCGAUUUCCAAGGUGACAAUAUCUGACGGCUGCCAAGAAAAUGAGACGUAUGCCCUUUGCUACAGACUUCUAUUGACAUACUCAGAAGCUAAAGUUCCUUUUAUUUCUUAUCUUUUUGAAAUACUUUACCAUGUUAUGCCUGAACUGGUGUGGUGCCAGGUCUCCUCUGCUCCCAUGCCUCCAGCAUUGCACAUGAUGGUGUUAGCCUGUCCUCUAAUAUUAUUUUGUGUUUUUUCUAGAAGCAUCUUUGCUGCAGUCUCUCUGAAGUGGGAACACUCUGCCCAUACCCACUGUUAGUAGAAUAGCAUCAUCAGUUGCAAAAAAAUCGGUGGGUGGGUUUUAUAAAUCCCAGUUCAGCGUUGAGCAAGGUAUAACAUCUGUUGUGAUCAAUAUUUUAGAGUAAGCCUGUUUGAUAAAAAGUUUCAGUAAAGCCUUCAGCUUCCUAGUGAAUAGCUAAAUAAUUCACAGAGGUGGCUCUAAUCGCUUUAAGCUUCUUGUGUUCGAAUGUAAGCAAAAAA